RNAcentral lists this long non-coding RNA (850 nucleotides) under Elaeis guineensis (African oil palm). RNAcentral's name for it is "long non-coding RNA (EGUI_LNC034353)". Lineage: Eukaryota; Viridiplantae; Streptophyta; Magnoliopsida; Arecales; Arecaceae. The record is from RNAcentral.
CAUCGGGUACCAUUGCUAGAUGGUCACUUCGAUUAGUAUAGGAAUUGGUUCCUGUGCUACCGGCUUAGGUUCGAACCUGCGGGGUCACACACAUUAGAGGUUCCUAUCUGAUCUGAUGGCUGAUGUAGAAUCCUACAUAUUUGGGACUCGAUGAUCGAGAAUCAAGAUUCUCUAAUCACAAGUUUCACACAUUAUGGGUACCGGGGUCAAGAGUCCCACUGGUUGGGACUUUUCGAUCAGGGUUACAUAUCGAUGAAUUCUGAUGCCCGAUUGCCCAUCGAAUUUGGACUCAGUAUUUAUGAGAGGUUUAAUUAGUGAUUUGAUCACUAAUUAACUCAAUUUGAUUGAUUAAUUAUUUUUGAAUCAAGUCCAAUUGAAUUAGAUUCAGUUAGGUUUGACCCGAUUAGGUUAAGAGUUGACCUAAUCGUCAAGAUGGUUUGGUCCCUGAUUUGAUCAGGGGUUGGGCUUAGUCAAUUCCUGAUUUGAUUAGAAUUUUAUUGAGCCUAAUUAAGUCUAAUUAAGUUGGAUUUAAAUUAGUCUAAUUGGACCUAACUUAUUUGGUUCAAUUAGGUUGGUUUAAAUAAUUAAACCACCUUGACCCAAUCUCCAUGCGCCACCUCACUUUCAAUGCACCCAUUUGAAUUCAUGAGAAGGAACUUCUCAUGAAUUUUUUUUUCACGCCAAGCCCUCUCCAUGCCCCACUUUAAUGUGCCAUUUGAGUGGAUAAGGAUGAUUGGUUGGCCAUUCAAAUUCAAAAUAAAGUUUGAAUUUGAAUGGGCAAUCAAUCUUUGCGCCUUAUCCCUUUUUUUACGCCCCAUUUAUUACAUGAGAAAAAGUUUCUCAUGAAAUC